Otolemur garnettii (small-eared galago) is the source of this 104-nucleotide small nucleolar RNA. The record is from Ensembl. NCBI's taxonomy places the organism in Eukaryota, Metazoa, Chordata, Mammalia, Primates, Galagidae.
ACUCUUUUGUGGUUCAUAAGUGUGAUGAUUGGGUUUUCACGCUCAUGUGUGCAGUGUGCCUGCCUCAAACCUUGUUAUGAUGUAGGCACAUUAUCUGUCUGAUG